CAUUUCAUUUUCAGAAGAGUCUGUCAACCCUUCAUCUUUAUUCUUUGUUGUUACUGGUCCUUCACCAGAAAAAUAAUCGGAGAAAUUCUUUCCAACACCCCCCUUCAAUGUGAAGGGGGCAGAAUCAGAACCAACUUGUCCAAAAUAUGCCGGUGAGAAGGGCCGUGAGAGGUUUAGUGAAAAUAUCGAUGAUUUGGAAAGUGGAUGGUACAAAAGAGAGAGAAAUUAGGCCGGAGAUGUAUUUUUGUUGAAUGAAGUGACAAUCUAAGUCCACAUGGUUCGUUCUUUCAUGAAAGACGGGAUUUUAGCAAUAUGAAUUGAUGCUUGUGAAUCAGAGUGUAAAGAAAUUGGAAGAGAAGGAGAGAUUGAGAGAUCUUCGAAAAGACGGACAAGCCAUGUGAUUUCUGCGACAACCCAACGCAUUGAGCUGUAUUCAGCCUCGACUGAAGAUACGAAGAUGGAAAUCUGCUUCUUGGAUUUCCACGAAAUAGGACAAUUCCUAUAAUUUAUGAAGUGCCCAUUAACAGAUCGGUGACUUUCCGGGUAUGUAGCCUAAUUGACAUCACAAAAUGCUACUAACUCGAAAGAUGGGGAGGAUGAUAUAAACAAACCAAUUCUAGGGUCUGAAAAAAGAUAUCGGGGGACAUGAAUACCAGCAUCAAAAUGUGGUUGACAAGGGGAUUGCAUGUACUAACUCAUACGUUGUACACAAAACAUGGAUCCAAUGGAGAAGAAUUUGGUCGAAGAUUCAAACAAUCAAACUCCCGUAAAAGUUCCAUAGCAAA
Lycium barbarum (goji berry) is the source of this 785-nucleotide long non-coding RNA. RefSeq lists it as uncharacterized. The record is from RefSeq and is a predicted model, not a curated record. NCBI's taxonomy places the organism in Eukaryota, Viridiplantae, Streptophyta, Magnoliopsida, Solanales, Solanaceae. The transcript has 2 exons.